RNAcentral lists this ribosomal RNA (253 nucleotides) under uncultured bacterium. RNAcentral's name for it is "partial 16S ribosomal RNA". It matches the Rfam family "Bacterial small subunit ribosomal RNA", at positions 524 to 776 of the family's 1533-position model. The record is from RNAcentral.
UACGUAGGGCGCAAGCGUUGUCCGGAAUUAUUGGGCGUAAAGAGCUCGUAGGCGGUCUGUUGCGUCCGCUGUGAAAACUCGGGGCUUAACCCCGAGCCUGCAGUGGAUACGGGCAGACUAGAGGUAGGUAGGGGAGAAUGGAAUUCCCGGUGUAGCGGUGAAAUGCGCAGAUAUCGGGAGGAACACCGGUGGCGAAGGCGGUCUCCUGGGGCAUUCUUGACGCUGAGGCGCGAAAGCUGGGGGAGCAAACGGG